RNAcentral lists this ribosomal RNA (253 nucleotides) under uncultured bacterium. RNAcentral's name for it is "partial 16S ribosomal RNA". It matches the Rfam family "Bacterial small subunit ribosomal RNA", at positions 524 to 776 of the family's 1533-position model. The record is from RNAcentral.
UACGGAGGGAGCUAGCGUUGUUCGGAAUUACUGGGCGUAAAGCGCACGUAGGCGGCGAUUCAAGUCAGAGGUGAAAGCCCGGGGCUCAACCCCGGAACUGCCUUUGAAACUAGAUUGCUAGAAUCCUGGAGAGGUGAGUGGAAUUCCGAGUGUAGAGGUGAAAUUCGUAGAUAUUCGGAAGAACACCAGUGGCGAAGGCGACUCACUGGACAUGUAUUGACGCUGAGGUGCGAAAGCGUGGGGAGCAAACAGG